Molecule: ribosomal RNA, 484 nt
Filed under: uncultured bacterium
Lineage: Bacteria
Description: partial 16S ribosomal RNA
Rfam family: Bacterial small subunit ribosomal RNA
Source: RNAcentral
AUUGAACGCUGGCGGCAGGCCUAACACAUGCAAGUCGAGCGGAUGAAGGGAGCUUGCUCCUGGAUUCAGCGGCGGACGGGUGAGUAAUGCCUAGGAAUCUGCCUGGUAGUGGGGGAUAACGUCCGGAAACGGGCGCUAAUACCGCAUACGUCCUGAGGGAGAAAGUGGGGGAGCUUCGGACCUCACGCUAUCAGAUGAGCCUAGGUCGGAUUAGCUAGUUGGUGGGGUAAAGGCCUACCAAGGCGACGAUCCGUAACUGGUCUGAGAGGAUGAUCAGUCACCCUGGAACUGAGACACGGUCCAGACUCCUACGGGAGGCCGCAGUGGGGAAUAUUGGACAAUGGGCGAAAGCCUGAUCCAGCCAUGCCGCGUGUGUGAAGAAGGUCUUCGGAUUGUAAAGCACUUUAAGUUGGGAGGAAGGGCAGUAAGUUAAUACCUUGCUGUUUUGACGUUACCAACAGAAUAAGCACCGGCUAACUUCGUG